AGGGUUGGGUGGUAUUGUGCAUGACUAAAUUGAUCUCUCUUCAGAAUUUCUAGUUGAACAUCAGGGCAAUUUUCAAGCAUGAAUGCUCCGUUCUCUGUUAACAUUUGAGAUUCCUUUAGGGUCUUAAUGAUGUUCUGAAGGUUUGAAAUUCGGUUUUUUUUUUUGUCUCCUGUUUUUUUGAAGGUUCUGUCUGUUUUUUUGUGUGUGUUUAUUAAUUUGUUUUAUUGCUUUAAGCAGCCGUCCAGUGAGAAUCUUUGGGCUGGCAAAGCAAUAGCUGUGCUCAUCCGUUUUGGGGACAUCAAGACGAGUGUGAGUUGAGCAGGCAUUAUUUAAAUUAAUGUGCAGGAUGCCAAGGACACAACAUUCAAAGGCCACCCUCUUAAAUUUGCAGCCAACAGGCCAAGCUGGCUUCCCCUACAUUUCUGCUGUGGAGGGAAACUGAAAAUUGUUGGCACAGCAUCUGGGCGAAGCCUGACUAUUUGUCCUGUCCUGUCUACACACUCUGCAGUGAAGUGAUCAGAGCAGAGGCAGGAGUAGGCAGAUGGCCUGAAGUUUUGCCUCCUAAGCUUCACAAGCCAUUCUCUCCGCCUGACUGGGUCUUUUGGAAAUCUAAACCCAAUAGUUGAACACAAUAAAUAUAAAGUUAGUUUGUUUGUUUAUCUAUACAUAAACAACAAUUAACAUGAUUUGAUAAAAGGGUUGUGAGAUUAAGUUAAACAUCAGCUAAAAUUAACUGGAAAAGGAAAAAUUACGUUUAACAGAGGGAUUUGUCCCAAUCUAACUUUGAGUUUGUA
This is a long non-coding RNA of Xyrauchen texanus (razorback sucker), 794 nucleotides long. RefSeq lists it as uncharacterized. Lineage: Eukaryota; Metazoa; Chordata; Actinopteri; Cypriniformes; Catostomidae. The record is from RefSeq and is a predicted model, not a curated record. The transcript has 3 exons.